Molecule: long non-coding RNA, 925 nt
Organism: Apodemus sylvaticus (European woodmouse)
Lineage: Eukaryota; Metazoa; Chordata; Mammalia; Rodentia; Muridae
Exons: 2
Source: RefSeq, a predicted model, not a curated record
CAAGUCCAGAAAGUUUCCCCAACAACUGAUGUCAGAAGGGAGGGGAGCCCUAGCUCCACCCAUCCACUGCAGAAAAGCCUUGGUACUUCCAGGUCAGUAGUAUGAGGUGACUCCGGAAUAUUCUAGACUCCGGGUGGGGGGGUGAGCAGGUGAUUGUCUACCUGGUGGCAGGCAGGUACCACCUGGAGGAAACUUAAGAGCCCCGACAGAUUCCUUGUGCAUCAAAGUGACCACCAGGGACAUCAUCUGAAGCAGAGGAGGUCCUGCAUCUGCCUUUUUCUGAAAGAGACAUUGAUGGCCAUUGUGGAAGUGGCUGCCUACAUCCUAUAUAGUUCUAAAGCUGAGACACCUGGUGAAGUAUCAGGUCCCUCGAGGUAGGAGCCCCAUUUGGGAGUCGUUCACAAUGGUGGACACAAGGAACAGCAGCCUGUGCCCUACCUAGUGAGACCUCAAGCACAGCUUGGCACAGGCACUCUCAGCCCGUCGGCUUUCUCAUCACAGACCUGGGCUAACGUGGGUCCCUGCUCACUCAUGUGAGAAGCUGUUUAUGUGAAGGAGCAGGAGCGGUGGAGGUGGAGGAUUGGGGGAAACACAGCAGGCCAGAGUCUGCUCUAGCCUGAGAAAGAGGAGGAGGGGACAGAGUGGGUGGCCAGGGAGGAAGCAAAGGGGACAGAAGAAAGAAUGCCCAGCUGAUGGCCAGGGCUAGCUGGCUUGCAAUCCAGUUCCCUCCUUCUCUGGAUUGCUGGGUGCAGGAAGGCAGAGUAGGAAUCCUGGGACCUGGGGUGGGAAAGUGCCAGGAGCUGCCAGUGCAUUUCCGGGUCCAGGCUAUGGCCCGUGCUGGAGCAGGCUGCCCUAGGGAACCCAGACUCUCCUCUCUGCAUACAUUAAUUAUGACAGAAUAAACAACACUGUUUUGAAAAAUGCA